Ananas comosus (pineapple) is the source of this 384-nucleotide long non-coding RNA. RefSeq lists it as uncharacterized. NCBI's taxonomy places the organism in Eukaryota, Viridiplantae, Streptophyta, Magnoliopsida, Poales, Bromeliaceae. The record is from RefSeq and is a predicted model, not a curated record. The transcript has 4 exons.
CGAGCGUUUGUUACCGGGGCAUUGCGAAGAGGCCGGGCGAGGGUGCGUCUUCGCCGUCCUGGACAUCGCGCCGAAGAAUUGUCGCUGUUGAGAAUCUACCGUCGACUGUUAGUAUUUCGGCUCGUUCUCCGCGUAGGAGCGUCGGAUCGCGACGAAACUUGGUUCAUUGGAUUCUAGACUGCGAGAGGAUUCUACGGAGCCCUCACUUGCAAUUUUUGGUCAAGCUUGGCGUUGGCUUGGCGACCGGACUUGGAGAUCCCCGAUUGAUCCAGCAGAGUUCCUUUUAGGCCGAGGCUUCGUUUGCUGCCAGGAGAUAGCACUUUAGAGCCACAGGUUUCGGCUGCUGCACCGUCUGCGGACCUGGAUCGAGGCAAGGGCGUCGCG